CCAUCCAUGCCCCGAGACAGGCCUUGCACUCACCCAUUGUCCUCCGGCCACCGACCAGCCUGCCCCAGGAGAGCCUGGGAGAAGGAGCCGCAGGGAGAAGCUGCCAAUGCAAAGUGGCAUUUUGGAGCCAGAGGAGGGCAUCUAAAGUGGCACUGACUAUUAACCAAGAACGGGUGCAGUGCCCAUCCCCACAGCUUUAACCAGCACUGAGUCCACACACAGGCUUGGGUUUGGGGUUUUUUUUUUUUUUAAACAGAAGUUUAUGGUUAUAUGCAAAUUAGGUCAUUAAAUGAUUUGCAUAAAAUGUUCUCGCAGGACAGCGACUAUUCCUAAUUCCCCUCCCCCCCCAGAAAGUAGCAACCCUACUCAGCCUAGCGCACUUGCACAUCUACCCCCUGCCGGCGGGCACAUGCCCCGGGUCACACGUACACGCACCUCCCAGGUGCGGGAGUGCAGCACUUUCACUCAGCCACCCCCCAAGGCCUUGCCUUAAACAGCAUCCCCCCCUCUGGCUCCAUGCACACCCCCUCCACAAUACAAGCAUCUCUCCUAAACGCACGACAGACACACACCCUCCCACCACUGCUCGGACUCACCUCCCCUUGCGCUCACCCGUGCACUCAGCCUCCACCCCUAGCUGCUCCUGCUCGUACAAGUGCGCCGCUGCCUGAUUGUCCCUGUGCCCCUGCCGGGCAGUCACACACUCCUGUGCCCGCAUCUCUCGGGGUGCAAUCACAGCCAGUCACUCACACCCACACAGCGUGCCUGCUACAUGCCCUCCCUGCAUGCCCUGCACUCAGACAAGCACCACUGCGGCCUUACACACUCCCCACUGCACACUAGUCCUGCAGAGCCUCCCAGACACAUGCCACAUGCUCACACCCGUACAUUGCUUACACAUCUGUCGCUGCAAAUUCACAAGCACGUGCAUUCACCCCCCACACACACAACUGCAGUCACGCCUGCAGCCCAUGCAUUCACACACCAUUCUCAUGGACAUGCACACCACAGGCUCACACACUUCUCCUCACAUCGCCCCCCCCCCCCCCGGACAGGUGCUGGUGCACAGAUGCUCAAACUGCACCCACACCUGUCAAACUUACACAGGCACGCUCGAUUCCCCAGCUCACACAAAUGCACCGAUGCGUUUGCACACCAGGCAUAUUCCCAAAUGCUUCUCUCUCCCCCCCUCACACACGCCUCCAGCACACACACACAGCCUCCGUCACACACAUCCCCCCCCCCGCACACUCACCCCUGCCCUUCCAUGUCCAGGCGCACGCUGCGUGCCCACCCCGUGCACUCGUCCCCAGGCUCCAGGAGGGCUGUCCACACACCCCAUGUCCGUCACUGGAAUUGACAGCCCCCAGCCACUCCUAGCUAUUGGUCAGGAAGAGGCGUCUGUGUUUGGAGGCGGAACCACGAGGCCGGCCCCGGCGCCGCCCCCGCCCCCGGCUGCCAUACGGGU
RNAcentral lists this long non-coding RNA (1468 nucleotides) under Chrysemys picta bellii (western painted turtle). RNAcentral describes it as "lncRNA (ENSCPBG00000015161.1)". The record is from RNAcentral. Lineage: Eukaryota; Metazoa; Chordata; Testudines; Emydidae.